This is a long non-coding RNA of Spinacia oleracea (spinach), 1835 nucleotides long. RefSeq lists it as uncharacterized. NCBI's taxonomy places the organism in Eukaryota, Viridiplantae, Streptophyta, Magnoliopsida, Caryophyllales, Amaranthaceae. The transcript is spliced from 2 exons. The record is from RefSeq and is a predicted model, not a curated record.
CUUCCCUCACCUCAUACUAUCUGCCCAGCUUCAACUGUCCCUCGACUCUUUUGUCUUUUCCUCCAUUUUUAUUUUUAAAAUUUAACCUUCUUUUCCUUUAAUUUUUUUUAAUUAAAUAAAAAAAUAAAAAAACAGUGAUAAGCUAGAGAAAGAGAAGUUUCUCUCUCAUGGCCCCGGUGUUAUUAUAACCACCCCCCUCACAUUCCGCUUCCUCAUUCUCACCUCACCUCCCCUCUCUCUCUCCCUCUCCCUCUUUCUCUCUCUUCCCCCCUUCAACCUAGCCGAUUUUCAUGGGGGUACUAUUCAAUAUUCAUCCCAAAAUUAAAAAAAAAAACAAAAAAAAAAAUCAAAUUUCAGAAUGAGUGAGGAUGGAAGCAUAUGAGUUGAGGGGAAUGUUGUCUGGCUCGAGGACUCGUAUGGAUUUAGAUCGAGAUCUUAUAAUGGUCGCCGGACCAGGCUUCAUUCCCCCCAAUUUUCUCUGCUUCCCAAACACCUCCUUUCAUUUCCUCUUCAAUGGCCUUUUUCUUUCUUUCUCAGAUCUACUUCAAUUAACAUAAAGAAUUGUACUACGAUCUCCUUUUCGGAGUAUGACAGAUGCAUGUAUGCUGUCAAGUUACUAGAGAGAAUCUGGAUUGAAUCGCACUCGAUCCUAUUCAUACUAAUUAAGAUAAGAUCUGUGUUUCCCAAUUUUUAAUUUUACUUUUUUUUUUUUUUUUUUUUUUUUAAUAUAAACUUAUAAAUUAUGAGCUUCACAUGUGGAUUGUUGUCCUAGUGUCCUUAAACAAUUAAAUCUGUGUUAAUAUUGUUUGAAAAACUGAUGUGAUGCUUAUUUAAAUUAGGUGAUGAUAACCUAGGGAGUUAAAAUCUGUUCCAAAUUCUUUUAAUGUUGUUUUGAAUGAAUGCAGGAUACGAUGAGAGAAUCAGUGCAACACACUUAAUGAGGCUUUGAUUAUUGCAACAUUAUUUUGACUGACUUUUCUCUGGGUUUUAAUUACUUAGUCCUCGUACUAAUUAAUUUACCAUUUUCUUCAAUCAUCGUCAACUAGUACAACUUGUUGUAUUAAUAGACUCCUCUAAUUGCAUAACAGUUAGACAAACGUUUGGCUAAAAAAGGGGAGCAUACAAGUCAAAAGUUAGACAGGUGAAAAUGGUGUGGGUACAGAUUACCAUGCUCAUCUGUUUGCUAAAAGCCUACAACUCUUUACAAUACUUAACCUCUUUUUUUGUCUCAAGAUUUCCUUUUCUUUCUUUUUUUACAAAUAUUGAACGUGUGAUUUGUGAUGAGAAAACUCAGGACACAGAAAAAGUUAAAACAGUUGAUUUGAAAAGAUAAGAGCGGAGGUUUUUAUGCAUUACACUUUCCCCUCCACAAACUCAAUUGUACCACCAUGGAAAUCAGGAAAUGUAUUUUCACUAAUUUAAUAAUGGUACUAAAUUGCUGUCUAGUUUUUUCAUAGACGCUUCAAAGAGAAACCAAGUUCAAGUUGGAGAUACGAAGAACAACAUGCACUUACAAGUUACAAACGCAUAGGAUGAUAGGAGUACCGAGUACGGAAUAGUAACCAUGGCAUUGGGACAUUGUGAUCGAUUAUCAGCGUUAUUAUGUGAUUAUCCAAACAGCAUUUAAUUUUGCUAUGCUAUAGUCUUUGUUUAGAGUGAUACUCCCUCCGUUCCUUAAUAGGAGUUUAAGACACUUAAAUUGACUUAUUAAUUUAAUGUGUGUGUUUUUUUUUGUUUUUUUCAUAUAGUUAGUGAGAAAUGUGUAGAAGUGUAGGUGAGUUAGUAGUUAAGUGUGAGAAAUAUUAUAAUAUUGGUAAAAAUUUCCAUUUAUAGAA